RNAcentral lists this long non-coding RNA (290 nucleotides) under Elaeis guineensis (African oil palm). Its description in RNAcentral is "long non-coding RNA (EGUI_LNC019451)". The record is from RNAcentral. Lineage: Eukaryota; Viridiplantae; Streptophyta; Magnoliopsida; Arecales; Arecaceae.
UUUCCAGCCCUACUGAUAAAGUUGGCCAGCGAUGGUGGAUUACGAAAUAGGCCGGACGUGAAUUCAGCAUUAAAGAAAUCCACUGGUGGCUUUAAGAUAUGUGUAGGUGGAUGAGUAAAAAAGGUCGGAGUGCUUUGAGAUAUGCGUAGUGGGUGAUCCAAUGGUGGAUUUAUAUGAAGCCGGACAUCCACGUUGAACUCCGGAUCAAAACCUUCCCAUGUGGUUUCUCUAGGAUCCAAAUCUCCCACACUUUGCCUCAUGCGGUGAGUGAUCGCAUGUGGACUCUGAUC